UGCGUAGGCGGGCUAAUAAGUCAGUGGUGAAAUCUUCCGGCUCAACCGGGAAACUGCCAUUGAUACUGUUAGCCUUGAGUUAGGUUGAGGUAGGCGGAAUGUGUAAUGUAGCGGUGAAAUGCUUAGAUAUUACACAGAACACCAAUUGCGUAGGCAGCUUACUGGACCUACACUGACGCUGAGGCACGAAAGCGUGGGGAGCGAACAGGAUUAGAUACCCUGGUAGUCC
This 229-nucleotide ribosomal RNA is filed under the name uncultured bacterium. Its description in RNAcentral is "partial 16S ribosomal RNA". It matches the Rfam family "Bacterial small subunit ribosomal RNA", at positions 568 to 796 of the family's 1533-position model. The record is from RNAcentral.